This is an RNA transcript of Corvus hawaiiensis (hawaiian crow), 3760 nucleotides long. It is a transcript of the gene named HAUS augmin like complex subunit 6, with no coding region annotated. The transcript is spliced from 19 exons. The record is from RefSeq and is a predicted model, not a curated record. NCBI's taxonomy places the organism in Eukaryota, Metazoa, Chordata, Aves, Passeriformes, Corvidae.
CCCGCGCGCGGGAGAUUUUGGCGGGUUGGGGAAGAUGGCGCCGGCGGUCGCUGCCCGGCGGGUGCCGAAAGCUGUCACGGACGCCAAACGCGAGAGCCGUCACCUCUGGCUUUGUUUGCUGGCCUUGGGCUUCGACCCGAAAUGCCACCGCGACGUGAGACUAGGAAGGGACAUGUUUGCUAAACCAAACAACAGAGCUUUUACUGUCAUUGCCCAGUUCUUGUUUACUAAGCUGGAUAAGCGCCGCGCAAAACUAACUUUCAAGCACGCUGGAUUAAGAAAGACAGCAAGUCCUAGAUUUAGGAAGCAAUGCUGUCUGUGGCUUAGAGAAAUUGCAAGUCAAAAGGAAAGAGGUUUUCCACGAAUUACUCCUUCCACACUGAUUUGUCCUGGUGGUGCUAGAUUUAUUCACAUGGCAUACUGUUUUGCAAGAUAUGUAUUGAUUGAGGACAUGAAAAAGCUUUCUGUAGGCACUGGUAUACCUUUUGCUGAAGCUGUAAAGCGGAGACCUAAGGACAUGUACAUAGCAAGAGCAAGACAUAGAGUUGCAUACAGUAAACUGCUGCAAAUUCUUCAAAGGCAAGACUUCGUUAUUCAAGAAUAUGGGAAAAAAGCACGGGUUUUAAUUAGAGAAAUACAACGGACAAAGUCUGAAUAUGCAGUCAUGCGGAAGCGGUCUCACAGGAUGAAACAAAAUGACCGAAACAAAAAUGACACAACUGACAGAAUUCAGAAGGUCCGCAGUAUGUGGACACUUAUAGCGGAAAUGCUUACAUCUCUGAAAAAGGAAAAGGCAGUUGUGGAUUCUGUACUUGAAGACUGUGCUCAUCCAUGUAUUUUAGAUGGCACUGAUGUAGUUUUGCGUGUUCCAGGGUUGUUGACUUACAGAGUUGAAAGUGACAUACAUGGAUUUUGUACAGGAAAUUUAUAUGAAGAUGGAAAACUGAAUUUCCUGACAGUUAUUCAGUUGUUAAAUGAAGCCCUGAGAAUGUUGAGAGAUGAACACUGUCCAUGCGAAUUAAAAGAACUUCACAGAAUUAAAGCCAUGGUUGCAUACUGCAAGAAACUACUACAGGACUUGAACUCAAAGAGUCUAAGAAAUGUGCAACAGUGUUGUGAGCAAAAGCGUCAGUCUAUUUCCAGAAAACAGGAAAUCUGGGAAUCGAAGUGGGAAACUAUUCUUGGCCAGUGUCCUUCUAAUUUAAUCUUUAGAGAUUAUCUAGAACCUGCUUUGCCACUCCAGUCUUUUAGUUCUUCAGAUGAAGAUGAAGACACUAUCUGCUGUCAAUCAUUUGCAGAUAAUUAUGACUCUUGUCAUGAAGAAAGCCAUGGGAAAGAUGAUGGGGCUUUGGAAACCAUGAUGGAUACAACAUUAGUACCCUCAAGAUGUGACUUCAUGCACCAUGGAGAUUUGUUUGCUUAUGAGGCGACAGACAGCUCAUCAGUGCUGCCGUUGCCGGAAGCAUUUGAAAACAGAGACCUGUUAAUUGAAAAUAACUCACAUACUGAAACUUGUGUGAGAAAUAAGAAACCUGUGCCUCCAAAAAUCUUAAAACAUGGAAAGGAAGAAUUUCCCACUUCAGAAAUGGAGGAGAAUGCAGGUGAAGAUGGUAUCCAGCCAAAGUCUUCUGUGAAAAAAGAAGACCUUCUUGAGAAAGCCAGAGAUGAACUUGCAGAAGAGGUUGCAAAGUCAGUGAUGUCUGAGUCACCUGACAGUGGUGAAGAAAAAGGAAUAUCACUUGAGCGUCUCAUUAGCUCACUGUCUUUUAACCCAUUUUUAACAAGGAAACAAAUACCUCGAACUCCAGAAGUUCUGCUUACUGAAAUUAGAAGCUCGUGGAGAAAAGCUAUUCAGACUGAGGGCUCAUUAGACAAAGAUCUGUCCCCAACAGAAGUGGUGACAGAAAAAUCUUCCAUGGAUGGUACACCCAGUAUGCAGGAGAACUCUACCUUUGUGUUCUCUGAACCUGCAUCUCCUGUAUCUGACUUUGAUCCUCCCGUGUCAGAAAAGAAGUCUCAAUUAAGUUCUACAGAAUCUCAUCCUCACGAGCAGGUAAGCAUAAGUCGUAGAUUUGAAUCUUCAGAUUCAAAACUAUCUGGAAUUCAAGAAAGUGAGAGAACUGAAUCAGAAGAACUAGGUUGUUCUGCUUUGAGUGGAAGUUCUGUAGAAGAUCUAAGCCAGACUUUUCACAAUGAAGAGAAGAGCAUGAAUAUUCCAGAGAGUUGUUUGAAAAGUGGUAGAAGAACAAAUACACUACCUUCAGAGCACUGUCGCAGUUUUCUAAUGGAUGAGGUGCUGUGCUGGAAUGUAUCUUCAUUAAAUUCUGUCAGUCAUGAAACUACUGACGUGGGGAUACUGGAUGAGACAUUUCCAGAAUGUGAUAGCAUGGAUCUCAGCAUAUCUUCAAGCUCAAACUCCAUUUCUUAUACAAUAGACAGUGCAAAUAUAACAGAUGUCUUGGAAAAUGAUGAGGAUAUUAAAAAAUCAGACCUGGAUAUACAGUCCCUAUCCAACUCACCUGAAGUGCUAAAAAAGACUACAUCUGAAAGUGAAGAGGAGCUGCAUCAAACACAUAACAAAGACGAAUCUGAAAGAUAUGCAUUUGAACUAUCUCCUAUACCAGAAGAAGAAGAGGAAAAUGGUGAUGAUCCUUACAGGGAUGAAGGACUUACCAAGAUGCUAUUGCCAAACUCUCCUAAUGGAAGCAAAUACUCUCUGUCAUCUUCGCUGGUAUCCUGUCAAGAGAUGGAGGAGAUGCCAUCUUGGGUACAUGAAGUCCCAUGAGACUUACUACAUAAAUUGGAGGGCUCCCACCCAGAGCUCAGUUUACAUCUCAAUCUGAAGUUUGCCUGUCCAGCUGCCUGGAUUAGAUGGUAUCAACACUACCUUAAUUUCAGCGAGGCUUUUGGCACUGUUUCCCAUAACAUCCUUGCAGAUAACAGUUGAGUUAGAAGCUGGGCACAAAGGAACUUUCAUCAGGACGGAAUUUGUAAAGCAGCAGCGUAACCAUAGCAGUGCAUUUAUGGGUCACUUGACUGUGUAGCAUCUUCUCCAAGCAUUGUCUGUAUUUGAAAGUUGCACUCCUUUUGGUGGGGACAGUAUUCCAGUCUCCUUAAGGAGUAUAAGAAUGUCAGUUGCCUGCUCUGGCGCUGCCGUUUUCAUCUCAUCCACAGUGGCCUUCUAUGUACAGCAUAUCAUUUAUAUACAGAACUAUAUAUAUAUUUUAAGCAUAUUUUAAACAGCAUAUGUUGAGUAAAUGGCAUAACCCCAGAAAAAGCAAACAAUGAAAUGUCAAAGGAGAAAUAAUGAAAUCUGUUAAUUUGCUCCUAAUCUACACCUCAUACCCCUCCCCAACCCUUGAUCCAACAGAUUGAAUUUUUACUUGGUGCUCUACAUUCCAUUGCAUUAAUCUCUUUCUGAGACUUCUGGUCUAUAUUGCCAUCAAUUCUACCUAUUGAUAGAGGCUGUUCCUUUUUUCUAAACUUCACUGGAGUGCAUAUUUCUUUAGCUGUAUUACCGAGUAAAUGCUUUACACUAAAGAUAUAAAAAUCUAUUCCUUGUGGUAGUGUUAAUGCUACUUGAUUUUAACAACUGACGUGCACUUACUGCGUUGUGAUGUAAUAGAGCCUGUGAUAAGGUGAGAAAGUAAAAGUUGAGAUUCCAGGAGGUAAACUACUUGUUAUAAAAGUACUGGCUCCUAGCCUAAUGUGUUUAGAGUUGUGAGGAAUUGUUAAAUAAAGUUGUUUUUCUGUUCUGCAA